AACGUGACUUCAAACUGCUUAUC
RNAcentral lists this non-coding RNA (23 nucleotides) under Cricetulus griseus (Chinese hamster). The record is from RNAcentral. Lineage: Eukaryota; Metazoa; Chordata; Mammalia; Rodentia; Cricetidae.